UACAGAGGGCGCAAGCGUUGUUAGGAAUUACUGGGCGUAAAGGGCGUGUAGGCGGCUUAGCAAGUCAGAUGUGAAAUCCCGGGACUUAACUUCGGAAGUGCAUUUGAAACUGCUAGGCUAGAGUGAGGUAGAGGUUGGUGGAAUUCCCAGUGUAGAGGUGAAAUUCGUAGAUAUUGGGAGGAACACCGGUGGCGAAGGCGGCCAGCUGGGCCUUAACUGACGCUGAGGGGCGAAAGCGUGGGGAGCAAACAGG
This 253-nucleotide ribosomal RNA is filed under the name uncultured bacterium. Its description in RNAcentral is "partial 16S ribosomal RNA". It matches the Rfam family "Bacterial small subunit ribosomal RNA", at positions 524 to 776 of the family's 1533-position model. The record is from RNAcentral.